This 806-nucleotide ribosomal RNA is filed under the name uncultured Gammaproteobacteria bacterium. RNAcentral describes it as "bacterial SSU rRNA". It matches the Rfam family "Bacterial small subunit ribosomal RNA", at positions 55 to 895 of the family's 1533-position model. Lineage: Bacteria; Pseudomonadati; Pseudomonadota; Gammaproteobacteria. The record is from RNAcentral.
AUGCAAGUCGAACGUGAAAGCACUUCGGUGUGAGUAGAGUGGCGGACGGGUGAGUAACGCGUGGGAAUCUACCCAGUAGUGGGGGACAACUACCGGAAACGGUAGCUAAUACCGCAUACGCCCUAUGGGGGAAAGGCUUCGGCCGCUAUUGGAUGAGCCCGCGUCAGAUUAGCUAGUUGGUAGGGUAAAGGCCUACCAAGGCAACGAUCUGUAGCUGGUCUGAGAGGACGAACAGCCACACUGGGACUGAGACACGGCCCAGACUCCUACGGGAGGCAGCAGUGGGGAAUAUUGGACAAUGGGCGAAAGCCUGAUCCAGCAAUGCCGCGUGUGUGAAGAAGGCCUGCGGGUUGUAAAGCACUUUCAGUUGGGAAGAUGAUGACGUUACCAACAGAAGAAGCACCGGCUAAAUCCGUGCCAGCAGCCGCGGUAAUACGGAUGGUGCGAGCGUUAAUCGGAAUUACUGGGCGUAAAGCGCGCGUAGGCGGCUAAGUCAGUCAGAAGUGAAAGCCCCGGGCUCAACCUGGGAAUUGCUUUUGAUACUGCUUAGCUAGAGUUUGGUAGAGGAUAGUGGAAUUCCAGGUGUAGCGGUGAAAUGCGUAGAUAUCUGGAGGAACAUCAGUGGCGAAGGCGACUGUCUGGACCAAAACUGACGCUGAGGUGCGAAAGCGUGGGUAGCAAACAGGAUUAGAUACCCUGGUAGUCCACGCCGUAAACGAUGUCAACUAGCCGUCGGGUCUAUUUACAGACUUGGUGGCGAAGCUAACGCGAUAAGUUGACCGCCUGGGGAGUACGGCCGCAAGGUU